CUAUCGAGUAGAAGCGGUUAGCGCCGAUGCGCCUCCCCCCAGCGGGCAGACGCAUGCCGGCGUGGGACAUUGCUCUCGCG
RNAcentral lists this non-coding RNA (80 nucleotides) under Cupriavidus basilensis. RNAcentral's name for it is "Xanthine-I sequence". It matches the Rfam family "Xanthine riboswitch aptamer (NMT1 RNA)". Rfam says of the family: Later it was reported as a ncRNA that recognised Xanthine. RNAcentral also lists the same sequence under 1 other name. The record is from RNAcentral. Lineage: Bacteria; Pseudomonadati; Pseudomonadota; Betaproteobacteria; Burkholderiales; Burkholderiaceae.